CACACCAGGGCCUCUUCACCCCCAGAGCCCUGGGGUGCUGCUCCUGACCUACCAGCACAGGCCUGGGCACCCUCACCCCACUCCGCCCCUCCUUCCAUCUCCUCACUCUGCCCUCCCCUCCUUCCAUCUCCACCUCCGCCUCCACCACGUCCUUGAUCUGUGUCUGGGCUGGGAAGAGUGAGAGCAGCUACCCCAACGACAUGAGACCCUUCCCUGGGGCCCCAACGUGUGUGCUGCUCUUCCCUUCCCUGAGGCCCCGACGUGUGUGCUGAGCUCCCCUUCCCUGGGGCCCCGAAGUGUGUGCUGCUCUCCCCUUCCCUGAGGCCCCGACGUGUGUGCUGCUCUCCCCUUCCCUGAGGCCCCGACAUGUGUGCUGCUCUCCCCUUCCCUGAGGCCCCGACGCGUGUGCUGC
RNAcentral lists this long non-coding RNA (412 nucleotides) under Homo sapiens (human). RNAcentral's name for it is "non-protein coding lnc-CCDC154-2:1". The record is from RNAcentral. Lineage: Eukaryota; Metazoa; Chordata; Mammalia; Primates; Hominidae.